The sequence is a non-coding RNA, 75 nucleotides long. It matches the Rfam family "ASpks TB sRNA". The record is from Rfam.
CUUCAACGACCCCAGCCACAACGGCCGAUCCUCGUCCCGGCCCCGGCCGUAGGUGGCCAACAACGCCUGGGCCUC